This 73-nucleotide transfer RNA is filed under the name Stegodyphus mimosarum. It matches the Rfam family "tRNA". From Rfam's summary of the family: Transfer RNA (tRNA) molecules are approximately 80 nucleotides in length. Their secondary structure includes four short double-helical elements and three loops (D, anti-codon, and T loops). The record is from Rfam by way of RNAcentral. Lineage: Eukaryota; Metazoa; Arthropoda; Arachnida; Araneae; Eresidae.
GCUUUCGUGGUGUAGUGGUCAGCACGCUCGACGCGUAACCGAGAGGUCCAUGGUUCGAUUCCAGGCGAAGGCG